CGGGCAAUGGCACAAUUGAAACGACCGUCGAAUGCGAGACAAACGACAAUACAGCAGCUACUCUAGAGGUGCAAGCCCUAACUUGCAUCAAUUAGGUAUUAUCCAUUUCUAUGACUAUUAUCGGUGAUCUGUUGAUGCAAUUUCCAGUGUUUUACUAAUCAGAUUGGCAAUUAACUUUUGGUUCCAAAUGAGAAACUGAAUCUGGUACUGGGAUUUUGAAUAAUAAUUUUUCAAACAGCGACCAUGUCGAUUAUGCUACAGGAUUUGUUAGUCGCAAUUGUAGCGAAAUGUACCUGAAAUGCAGUGAAUUUAAAUGGAGAUGCAUUUUGGAAGAUCCCAUCUUUGAGCCACCUCUCAGGCUUGAAUGAAGCUGCAUCUGGACCCCAAUUGUACUCCAUUCUUCCCAUAGAGUAUGGUACAUAUGUCACCAUGCCUCCAGCCUUUACUUUGGUUCCAUCUGGGCUUCCACAUCUAAACAUGUAGAAAUUACCUGCAUAUCUACUUGCUGAUUGCUGUAAGAUGCUUGGCUCAGAAUGGCAGAGAGUUUGAGGCUAUACUCUCUGAAAACCACGGUGCUGAAAUCCCUCAAGUUCUUGGAAGCAAACUCAAAACUAGCAGUCUUCCUCUGUUUCCUCCAGAGCUCACCAUCUGCAUUGAAAAUACCGUCUCCAAGCAGAACUUCCAUGUAUGAAUGAAGCUUGUUUUCAGGACAUGCUCCACAUUAGUUGGAUCUGCAAUGUAUGUAUAUGUUGUGAAAGGCAUUGGCACGACUACCGUUCUCGACCGAGCCAGGUAUUUGACAAGCCAGUCGUGCAUUCUGUGAUAAUUCAUCAGCUGUUCUAUGGCAGCCCCCAAAAAUGGCCACGUUUUUGGACCUUUGGCAUGCCUCUGCUUAAACCUGUGAAGGAAGAUCCAUGAAAAGAGCAUGCAGAAAACCAGCACCAUUACACCCAUGCCGUAUUCUUG
This is a long non-coding RNA of Olea europaea var. sylvestris, 966 nucleotides long. RefSeq lists it as uncharacterized. The transcript is spliced from 5 exons. The record is from RefSeq and is a predicted model, not a curated record. NCBI's taxonomy places the organism in Eukaryota, Viridiplantae, Streptophyta, Magnoliopsida, Lamiales, Oleaceae.